AUGGGUCGAGCAGAUGAGAGAUACCACAAGGGGAUCGGGCAAGGCCGACGUCCUGAGGAUGAUGAUUCGGAGGAUUCUUGUGGUUGUUCCCACUAUAGGAGGUUGCACUUUUUGUACCGUCAUGAACAAAGAGAUCCUAGAUAUUAUGAUCAUGAAUUUCAUUGUGUCAGAUUUCGUCAGAACUGUUGUCCGAAUUGGAAUCAUAGUGCACUACAUCUUGGAAAUGGUUAUCCCGAUAGGUAUGGUUACCCAGGUCAUCCACAUCGUGGCUAUGGCUACCCAAUUGGACGAUUUGAUCAAGAUUGUAUGGAUCUGUACAAUCCGAGUCUGAUGGAUUCUUGGGAUGACAAGCUUGUAGAUACUCAAUGCUGUUCUCGGUACAAACUGACUCGUGGAAAGAACGAUUUCCCUGUGGCUGCAUCGCUAAGUAAUCCUGAGAAGUGGAUAUGCUUCCUUAAUUGUAUUCUCCAGUGUGUUGUUCACACAGUUCCUUUAGUGUCGAAGCUUCUGAAAGAUCGCCACCUAGGUCCAUGUCCUAGUAGUUCUGACGAAUUCUGCUGUUACUGCUCCCUACGACACCAUGCUUCUGAAGUUAUCAGGCUCUCAGGAGAUGUUCUCUACCCCAGAAAGUUUGUCAAACGCCUCAAGUCGAUAUUUCGAGAUUUCGAGCAGGGACAACACCAAGAUGCACAUGAAUUCCUCCGCUGCUUGCUUGAUAAAUUAGAUGAGGUAACUGUCGCUCCCAGGUCUGAAUCCGAGGAGCCCUCUUCUAUUGUCAAAGAACUUUUUGGGGGCCAACUGAAAAGCCAGUUGAAUUGUCCAAAGUGCAAUCAUUGCUCGGACAGAUUGGAGUCUUUCCUUGACCUUAACCUGGAGGUUAACCAAAUGGACACUAUCAUGGAUUCACUAUCAUCUUAUACCAAAAUUGAGGUUGUGGAAGAUUUCAUUUGUGAUGGAUGCAAAUCUCGUGUGAACAUGGAAAAGCACCUCAAGGUGGAGCAGGCUCCAGAAGUUCUUGUAAUCCAGCUCAAACGGUUUCAAAAUUUGGGGAGUGAUAUAUCUAAGAUUCAUGACAUGGUGAAGUAUCAGUUAGAGCUGGAUUUAAACCCCUUCAUGAGCUCCCCUGUUGACAAACCUCAAUGCUAUGAUUUGUAUGGAGUUGUAGAACACUGGGGUAACACAGCCAAGGGUCACUAUGUUUGUUAUAUCCGUUCAUCAGAAACUGAUUGGUUUCUCUUUGACGAUGAUAAGAUUGUGAAAAUGACUGAGGACAGAGUUUUGGAGAAAAAAGCAUAUGUUCUGUUCUAUGUCAAGAAAGGUUCAUCCCCAUGGUUCUCUACAUUACUUGAGAAGGAGAUGUUGCUGUCGGAUUAUUUUGAAGAAUUGGCGGGCAAAGGAUUAGAUGAGGAUGGUGCUUCCAAAGCGGGCAGCUACAGUAGCAGUGGUAGUGACAGUGACAAUGGCAGUGUUGAACAAGAUGUCACGGAGCAUUUUUCUGGACCAGCAGAGAAAAAUGAAGCUGGCCCCAGUUCGGCCGGCUUGUCACAAGGAGUCCAAGGAAUUGAAAACGGCAGUACCCUUUGCAGUGUACCUGACAAAAACGAAGUGGGUUGCAGCCUAGGUGGAGUACCAUCUGGAGGAACACAGAAACCCACCUCCCUUACCCUAUCAAGUGUGGAAAAUGGAGAUGCUAGUGGGUUGCCGUUGCUAUUGGAGAACAAAGAGAAGUCCAGCCGGCACCAGGGAAGCGAACCAUAA
Molecule: ribosomal RNA, 1758 nt
Filed under: Triticum aestivum (bread wheat)
Lineage: Eukaryota; Viridiplantae; Streptophyta; Magnoliopsida; Poales; Poaceae
Description: partial small subunit ribosomal RNA
Source: RNAcentral